UCAACUUGAGAGUUUGAUCCUGGCUCAGAACGAACGCUGGCGGCAGGCCUAACACAUGCAAGUCGAGCGAACCCUUCGGGGUUAGCGGCGGACGGGUGAGUAACGCGUGGGAACGUGCCCUUUGCUACGGAAUAGCCCCGGGAAACUGGGAGUAAUACCGUAUGUGCCCUUCGGGGGAAAGAUUUAUCGGCAAAGGAUCGGCCCGCGUUGGAUUAGGUAGUUGGUGGGGUAAUGGCCUACCAAGCCGACGAUCCAUAGCUGGUUUGAGAGGAUGAUCAGCCACACUGGGAC
This is a ribosomal RNA of 291 nucleotides. It matches the Rfam family "Bacterial small subunit ribosomal RNA", at positions 1 to 319 of the family's 1533-position model.